ACUGCAGUUGCUGAAUCAUAUGCUAAGAGCAUGUUUAGUUUUGUGUGAAACCACUAAACUAUUUUCCAAAGUGGCUGUACCAUUUUGCAUUUCCCCUAGCAAA
This 103-nucleotide microRNA precursor is filed under the name Marmota monax (woodchuck). Lineage: Eukaryota; Metazoa; Chordata; Mammalia; Rodentia; Sciuridae. The record is from RNAcentral.